Molecule: long non-coding RNA, 506 nt
Organism: Stegodyphus dumicola
Lineage: Eukaryota; Metazoa; Arthropoda; Arachnida; Araneae; Eresidae
Source: RefSeq, a predicted model, not a curated record
ACUGAGCAGUCUUCAGACAGAAAUUUUAAUCUGAGUUUCAGUUAACCGUAUCCGUGAAGUUCAGUAUAAAUGGAGAAAUAUGUGGUUGAAGCAGUACUUCGCUAACGCAGUUACCAGAUUAAUUUUGCAGUCGACUGUGAGACUCGACAUAAACCUUUAAUCCAAAUCUUGGUGCCUUUAUAUCUGCUUUACAAUGACCAAAACCUCCAGAACAAUAAGAUUUUUGUUGCCUUUAUCUUACAAAGCAAUUGGAAUUGGAUUUAUAGGAGGUGGAAUCUAUGGGAGUAUUCUUCUGUAUAUUGCUUGGGAUGAUGUCGCUCCAGAUGGAGAGAGAGUAGAUCGCACCCUUAGUAUAGUCUUCAUAACGGCUUUGACUUUGACUGGUCUAUAUUUCCUCAGAUUAUGAAGGACUUCGCUUCUAGUCAAGUGAUAUCAAGAAUUUUGCUGUCAUUUAUGUACCUUACUCGAAUUUUAAAAAGAAUAAAUUCAUGGAAGCUUUGUGGUUA